RNAcentral lists this ribosomal RNA (405 nucleotides) under uncultured bacterium. RNAcentral describes it as "partial 16S ribosomal RNA". It matches the Rfam family "Bacterial small subunit ribosomal RNA", at positions 30 to 526 of the family's 1533-position model. The record is from RNAcentral.
AUUGAACGCUGGCGGCAGGCUUAACACAUGCAAGUCGAACGAGUGGCGGACGGGUGAGUUAUGCAUGGGAAUCUGGCUUAUGGAGGGGGAUAACUACGGGAAACUGUAGCUACUACCGCGUAACAUAGGAUGAGGCCAAGUGGGAGUAGGUAGCUGGUGAGGUAAAGGCUCACCAAGCCGACGAUCCCUAGCUGGUCUGAGAGGAUGACCGGCCACACUGGGACUGAGACACGGCCCAGACUCCUACGGGAGGCAGCAGUGGGGAAUAUUGGGCAAUGGAGGCAAGCUGACGCAGCCAUGCCGCGUGAAUGAAGAAGGCCUUCGGGUUGUAAAGUUCUGUUGGUAGAGAGGCGUUAUCUACAGAGGAAGCACCGGCUAACUACGUGCCAGCAGCCGCGGUAAUAC